AGAGUUUGAUCCUGGCUCAGGAUGAACGCUGGCGGCGUGCCUAAUACAUGCAAGUCGAACGCACAGCGAAAGGUGCUUGCACCUUUCAAGUGAGUGGCGAACGGGUGAGUAACACGUGGACAACCUGCCUCAAGGCUGGGGAUAACAUUUGGAAACAGAUGCUAAUACCGAAUAAAACUCAGUGUCGCAUGACACAAAGUUAAAAGGCGCUUUGGCGUCACCUAGAGAUGGAUCCGCGGUGCAUUAGUUAGUUGGUGGGGUAAAGGCCUACCAAGACAAUGAUGCAUAGCCGAGUUGAGAGACUGAUCGGCCACAUUGGGACUGAGACACGGCCCAAACUCCUACGGGAGGCUGCAGUAGGGAAUCUUCCACAAUGGGCGAAAGCCUGAUGGAGCAACGCCGCGUGUGUGAUGAAGGCUUUCGGGUCGUAAAGCACUGUUGUAUGGGAAGAACAGCUAGAAUAGGGAAUGAUUUUAGUUUGACGGUACCAUACCAGAAAGGGACGGCUAAAUACGUGCCAGCAGCCGCGGUAAUACGUAUGUCCCGAGCGUUAUCCGGAUUUAUUGGGCGUAAAGCGAGCG
Molecule: ribosomal RNA, 581 nt
Filed under: uncultured bacterium
Lineage: Bacteria
Description: bacterial SSU rRNA
Rfam family: Bacterial small subunit ribosomal RNA
Source: RNAcentral